GAAAUGCGAUAAGUAGUGUGAAUUGCAGAAUUCAGUGAAUCAUCGAAUCUUUGAACGCACAUUGCGCCCCUUGGUAUUCCAUGGGGCAUGCCUGUUCGAGCGUCAUUUGUACCCUCAAGCUCUGCUUGGUGUUGGGUGUUUGUCCCCGUCUCCGCGCGUGGACUCGCCCCAAAGUGAUUGGCAGCCGGCGUACUGGUCCCGGAGCGCAGCACAUGUCGCGCAAACGAGUGCCUUGGUACGGCGGCGUCCAUAAGCCCCUCUCUCACUCUCUUGACCUCGGAUCAGGUAGGGAUACCCGCUGAACUUAAGC
This 310-nucleotide unclassified non-coding RNA is filed under the name plant metagenome. RNAcentral's name for it is "partial contains 5.8S ribosomal RNA, internal transcribed spacer 2, and large subunit ribosomal RNA". The stretch from base 1 to 105 matches the Rfam family "5.8S ribosomal RNA", at positions 50 to 154 of the family's 154-position model. The record is from RNAcentral.